This 297-nucleotide unclassified non-coding RNA is filed under the name fungal sp. Its description in RNAcentral is "partial internal transcribed spacer region". The stretch from base 1 to 46 matches the Rfam family "Eukaryotic small subunit ribosomal RNA", at positions 1786 to 1831 of the family's 1831-position model. The record is from RNAcentral. Lineage: Eukaryota; Fungi.
AAGUCGUAACAAGGUAUCCGUAGGUGAACCUGCGGAUGGAUCAUUAAUGUGCAAUAAUGUGUUUGGGUGUGACAAAAACUCCAUUCCCAGGCAUUUCCUCCUUGUGUUGUGUGUGGUUGUUGUUGUGUGCGUGUUGUGUGUGUGUGCGCGAGGGCAAUCUUGCGCGCAUAUAUGCACACACACACUCAUGAUUUUAGCACCUUUUUUUGCUUUUGUGUCUUACACACUCUUGCAAGGGCUCGUAAAAGAGCCCGCAAAGUACUCAUAAAACUGCCAGCAAUGGAUCACUCGGUUCUC